UUAAAAUUUAAUUUUGAUCCACUUAAAUUAAAAAUUUUUAAUAUUAAUUUAAAUUUGAUAUCCAAAAUUAAAUCUAAUUCAUCAUCCAAACUCAAAUUUUAUAAGAUUAAAAAUACAACUAUAUAAUUAUUGUUGGCAACAACUAUUUAAAUUUGAGUUAGAAUAUAAUAGAUACUUUUUACUAGAAUAUAAUAAAUAAAUUUAGUUUUUUAAAUUUAAAUUUUUAUUUUAAAUUUUUGAAUAAAUAUGAGGCGCAAAAUUAUAUUAAUUUGAGGUAACUAUUAAAAUAAUUAUUAUGUAUAUUUGCACGUAAACUUAACUACUACUGUUUUGCACAAAAUGAGAUCAAACCCUCAACCUCUAUGGCGACAAUUCAGGUAACAACCACUAGUCCAUUAGUUGUUGUCAUCUCUUUGUAUUAAACAUAGGAUUAGAUGUUGUUCAACAUGCAGUGAUUUUCUAAGAUAUUCUUACAAGUCCCACUUCUGCUAUUAGACUUAUUAUUUUGUUCGAUAUAUUCUCUAGAUUUACUUACAAAAUUUAUAUAUUUACACAAUGAGGAGUGUGAUCAAAUAUUUAGAAUAAAGUACUAUUUUUCAGAAUAAGAUAAAUUAUCUCAUACGUGAAAUAUGCUAUCCUACCAAAUCAUAGAUAGCAAGACUUUCAAGAAGUAAAAAAUCAAACUUUCUACUUAUGAUCAUAUUUGAAAAUUCUUAUACCGAAUAAAUUAUCCUAUAAUAACUUAUUUUGAAAUCCAAACAAGGCCUUCAAAGGCAUUCGAUUCAUACUAUACAAAAUUGCGAAAUAAUUAUAACGACCCAGCCCACUAGCAACAAUAACUCGUUGGGCCCAACAACCGGCCCAAAAUGCUUAAGCCCAGUUAUUAUUACUAGUGUCUAAGUCUCUUAUAAACCCAAUGACAACCCCAUUCCCAUCCGAUGUGGGACUAUUCGGGUGUCACAGACUCCCCCCGUUAAGGCCCUGACGUCCUCGUCAGUCCAAUCACACACACAGCCCAAGAUCACCAGGCGAUGUGAGACUCGUCUCGCUAGCCCGUCAUCUAGACCCUGGCUCAGCCGAGACUCGCCACACAUGUCCAGCUGGUGAACCGGCUCUGAUACCAAAUGUAACGACCCAGCCCACUAGCAAUAAUAACUCGUUGGGCCCAACAACCGGCCCAAAAUGCUUAAGCCCAAUUAUUAAUACUAGUGUCUAAAUCUCUUAUAAACCCAAUGACAACUCCAUUCCCAUCCGAUGUGGGACUAUUGGGGUGUCACAAUAAUGAAGGAUUUUCUAUUUUCUAUUUUCUAUGCUUUUUGUUUUCUUUUUCUU
RNAcentral lists this long non-coding RNA (1332 nucleotides) under Ananas comosus (pineapple). Its description in RNAcentral is "long non-coding RNA (ACOM_LNC030824)". Lineage: Eukaryota; Viridiplantae; Streptophyta; Magnoliopsida; Poales; Bromeliaceae. The record is from RNAcentral.